Molecule: long non-coding RNA, 2890 nt
Filed under: Nicotiana benthamiana
Lineage: Eukaryota; Viridiplantae; Streptophyta; Magnoliopsida; Solanales; Solanaceae
Description: long non-coding RNA (NBEN_LNC031139)
Source: RNAcentral
UUCUUCGAAUUAAGCUCUAAUCUUCUAUUUUAUUGUUUCUUUUCAGAUUUUAGUUUGAAGCACUAAAUAAAUGGCGGCUUCUUGAGGAAAAGAUUCAAACGUGAAUGGCACAAAGAAGUUAAUUUAUAUAAUAAAAUAUACAACUUUUCAAUUGACGGAAUGAUUCUUAUUGCACAUUGUUCUCUACUGCAUUCACGUGGACAAGGCUACAAUAACUUUGAUUCUUCAUAUAUAGAGUUUGUUCUUUUCGCAAUUUACUGUUGUAUUGCGGAUGUCCUCGUUUUAUUCAUUUCUUAUUAGUUAUUGCAAGUUGUUUUUUUGCAUUACCUUGGUGUACUUUGUGCACAAACCAAUAAGAAGAUCAAUUUCGUUAUAUUCAAUGUUUUUUCUUUUUGCUUUUUCCACUCGGUAAACAAAAAAAUAAGUCUUAUCCUUAUAUAAAAAACUAAAAAAGAGAAUACCAAUAAUUAUUUUAAGAUCUUUAAUAGUUUUAAGGUAAAAGAAGUUCAAGACAUAUAUACGUAAUACACGUACCUCUUUUUGCGCGCAUCACAUACGCUAGAUUUUUCUUCUUGAAAAAUAAGAUUUUAAAAUGUCAAAAAUAUUUACAAGGUAGUGACUACAAAUAUUUUUGUGACUAUGGAGUAAAAUAUUGAAAAUGACAUAUGUUAGCAGCUCAAUAAUUUUAGUGUGAAUUACUAUAUUAAUUCUUUUUUCACAUAAAUUAGGUGUUGUUGUUAAGGUGACUUGCAAGGCUGGUGACAAGACAAUUGUGAGUUAUGGUACCACAAAGAUCAACGGCAAAUUCAGCAGUACUGUUAAAGGAUUUGAAUAUGUCAAAUAUGGAGCAAAGGCUUGCAAGGCUAAACUACACACUGCUCCAAAUGAUUCUAAUUAUGACAUCCCUACAAACCUUCAUUGGGGAGUAAAGGGUGCUAACCUAAAAGUGAAGUCAAAGAAUCAUUAUGAAGUUGUACUUUAUGCAGAACCAUUUGCGUAUGGCUCUAAGACACCUUAUGCAAAAUGCACAAAACCUCUACCUACGCCUGCUCCAUAUUACUACGAAUCUCCUCCACCUCCAUCGCUGACUUAUAUUUACAAGUCAUCACCUCCUCCAUCACUAACAUAUGUUUACAAGUCACCACCUCCCCCAACUCUAAACAUAUGUGUACAAAUCUCCACCGCCACCAACUAAGUCUUCACCAUCUCCUUAUUACUACAAGUCUCCACCUCUACCUUCACCAAAACCUGCUCCAGUAUAAUAUUAUAGCUCACCACAAUCUCCAUCACCAUCGCCUCCACCUCUUUACUAUUAUAAAUCUCCUUCACCGCCUUCAUAUUCUCCUCCUCCUCCAUAUUACUACAAGUCGCCACCAUCACCUCCACCACCAUACUACUAUAAGUCACCACCCCUGCUAUCCCCAUCACAACCCCACCCCUAUUAUUACAAGUCUCCACCUCCACCAUCACCAAAACCUGCACCUGUUUACUAUCAUAAUCACCACCACCCCCGUUAACAUCGCCUCCACCUCCUUACUAUUACAAAUCUCCUCCACCACCAUCGCCUUCUCCUCCUCCUCCAUACUACUACAAGUUGCCGCCACCCCCGUCACCAUCACAUCCACUACCAUACUACUAUAAGUCACUACCCCCGAUAUCCAUAUCACCACCCCCGCCCUAUUAUUACAUGUCUCCACCUCCACCAUCACCAAAACCUGCACUGGUAUACUAUCAUAAAUCACCACCACCCCCGUCACCAUCGCAUCCACCUCCUUACUAUUACAAAUCACCUCCACCACCAUCACCUUCUCCUCCUCCUCCAUAUUACUACAAGUCGCCACCACCCCUAUCAACAUCACCUCCACCACUAUACUACUAUAAGUCACCACCACUACCAUCCCCAUUACCACCCCCGCCCUUUUAUUACAAGUCUCCUCUUCCACCAUCUCCAUCACCACCCCCGCCCUAUUACUAUAAGUCUCCUCCUCCACCGGCUCUGUCACUACCCCCACCCUAUUACUACAAAUCUCCUCCACCGCCAUCACUAUAAAUCUCCUCCACCGCCAUCACUAUCUCCUCCACCACCCUAUUACUAUAUAUCACCACCACCUCCAUCACCAUCACCUCCACCUCCAUAUUACUACAAGUCUCCACCACCGCCAUCUCCAUCACCGCCACCACCCUAUUACAACAGGUCUCCGCCUCCACCGUUGCCUUCUCCUCCACCUCUAUACUAUUACCACUCUUCACCUCCACCAGUGAAGUCUCCUCCUCCUCCCUAUUACUAUAGCUCACCUCCUCCACCAGUAUAUAUUUAUGCUUCCCUGCCACCUCCGAUCCACUACUAAGUAUUUCUAAGAGCUCAGCCAUUCUCCAUAAUCAAUCAAGUGAGUAGCCGUUUGAAGUGUGUAUUUUUUUUUCCGUAUGAAAUCAACUUUUGAUUUUUCUUUUCUUUGAAUUAGGUUCUAAUCUUCUAUUUUAUUGUUUCUUUUCAGAUUUUAGUUUGAAGCACUAAAUAAAUGCCUGCUUCUUGAGGAAAAGACUCGAACGUAUAUGGCACAAAGCAAUUAAUUUAUGUAAUAAAAUAUACAACUUUUCAAUUGAAGGAAUGAUUCUUAUUGCACAUUGUUCUCUACUGCAUGUGGACAAGGCUACAAUAACUUUGAUUCUUCAUAUAUAGAGUUUGUUUUUUUCGCAAUUACUGUUGCAUUGCGGAUGUCUUCGUUUUAGUGCAUUCACGUGGACAAGGCUACAAUAACUUUGAUUCUUCAUAUAUAGAGUUUUUUUUUCUUGAUUUAUUGUUGCAUUGAGGAUGUCCUCGUUUUAUUCAUUUCUUAUUAGUUAUUGCAAAUUGCUUUCUUGUAAUACCUUGGUGUACUUUGUGCACAAA